Molecule: ribosomal RNA, 684 nt
Filed under: Triticum aestivum (bread wheat)
Lineage: Eukaryota; Viridiplantae; Streptophyta; Magnoliopsida; Poales; Poaceae
Description: partial small subunit ribosomal RNA
Source: RNAcentral
AUGCAGCUUGUCUUGGGCGGCCAAACUGCGAUCUCGGUCACCGGGGAAGUAGGGCACUUCUUCCAUAACAGACAUGGACUACGGCAGGGCGACCCCAUGUCCCCGAUUUUGUUUAACUUUGUGGUCCAUGCUUUGGCGACUAUGCUUUGUAAAGCGACUGAGGCUGGCCACAUAAAAGGGGUGGUGGGACACCUCAUCCCAGGGGGAGUUUCUCAUUUGCAGUACGUGGACGACACGCUGCUACUUUUUCAGCCUGACCAUCGUAGCAUUGCUACGAUCAAAGCCAUCUUGCUCAACUUUGAGCUCAUGUCAGGGCUGAAAAUCAACUUCCAUAAAUGCGAAGUUCUUUCCAUGGGGGUGGAGCCUGCCGAGGGGCAGCGCAUUGUGGACUUGCUCAAUUGCAAAGUAAGGAAGUUCCCUUUUACCUACUUAGGUCUGCCCUUAGCUACCAAACGGCUAACGACAAACGAGUGGGAACCACUAUGUGCCAAGGUAGGGGGACGGGUGUGCCCAUGGCGUGGCAAAUUCCUAGCAUCGGCAGCGCGUCUGGUGCUCACUAACUCGAGUCUAUCCUCGCUGCCCAUGUUUGCCAUGGUCCUCUUCCUUCUAGCUGAAGGGGUCCAUGCCAAAAUGGACACGCCGCGUUCUCGUUUAUUUUGGGAAGGAACGGGCCCGAAACGCUAA